Molecule: non-coding RNA, 158 nt
Organism: Candidatus Peregrinibacteria bacterium CG2_30_44_17
Lineage: Bacteria; Candidatus Peregrinibacteriota
Source: Rfam
UACUUUCUGGGAUGUUCGCGAGACCUUUGUAACACAAACUCGACUACAAGAUUUAUGGGGUUCCAAUAUCUCUUAGGACCGUGGUCUUAAGAUGAGGAGGCCCACCUGGUUCCCCCAGGAUUCUGUGUUUUUGAGGCUCGCGGCAUCUUGGGGUAGUU